CACCGAGACCCACACAUGGAUGACCCCAAUCACUCAGUACUUGGAGCAUGGGACAUGCCAGCCGGGGGAAGAGAAGAAUAUCAGACGGCAAUGCGCCCGGUACACCAUGGUCGGUCAGGAUCUAUACCGAAGGGGGUACUCUACGCCACUCCUAAAGUGCCUCACCAAGGAACAAUCCCAAUAUGUGCUGCAAGAGAUCCACGAAGGGGCGUGCGGGAGCCACUCCGGAGCCCGAACGAUGGCAGCCAAAAUA
RNAcentral lists this long non-coding RNA (253 nucleotides) under Phaseolus vulgaris (common bean). RNAcentral's name for it is "long non-coding RNA (PVUL_LNC001735)". The record is from RNAcentral. Lineage: Eukaryota; Viridiplantae; Streptophyta; Magnoliopsida; Fabales; Fabaceae.